This 304-nucleotide ribosomal RNA is filed under the name uncultured bacterium. RNAcentral describes it as "partial 16S ribosomal RNA". It matches the Rfam family "Bacterial small subunit ribosomal RNA", at positions 506 to 807 of the family's 1533-position model. The record is from RNAcentral.
CAGCAGCCGCCGCGGGAAUACAGAGGGUGCGAGCGUUAAUCGGAUUUACUGGGCGUAAAGCGUGCGUAGGCGGCUAAUUGAGUCGGAUGUGAAAUCCCCGAGCUUAACUUGGGAAUUGCAUUCGAUACUGGUUAGCUAGAGUGUGGGAGAGGAUGGUAGAAUUCCAGGUGUAGCGGUGAAAUGCGUAGAGAUCUGGAGGAAUACCGAUAACGAAGGCAGCCAUCUGGCCUAACACUGACGCUGAGGUACGAAAGCAUGGGGAGCAAACAGGAUUAGAUACCCGUGUAGUCCCUGUCUCUUAUAC